This 2577-nucleotide ribosomal RNA is filed under the name Triticum aestivum (bread wheat). RNAcentral describes it as "partial small subunit ribosomal RNA". Lineage: Eukaryota; Viridiplantae; Streptophyta; Magnoliopsida; Poales; Poaceae. The record is from RNAcentral.
AUGCAUGAUGUUCUAUGUGAAAUGGACAUUCGAAACCGCAACAAUCAAGUAUACAAGGGUUGGUUGGAGGAGGUACGGAAAGUAGCACAUGUGAUGGAGGACAUGGUGAAUGAGUACUUAUAUCUAGUUGGUCCGGAACAUGAUAUAGGUUGUUGUUUUUUCCUAAAGAAAGGAUUCAAAAAGCCAAUAUCUCUACUUUCUUUGAACCGGAUAGCUUUCAAGGUGAAGGAAGUAGAGAAAGAACUUUCACACUUGUCAGAGACAAAAAAUCGCUGGGUUCCAAUGAUAAACAACGGGGAUACUAGCAACUCAAAUUACAUUGUCAAGAGAUCCCAAGAGCUAGCAAACAUUUCACGCUCCCUUGAUGAAGAAGAUUUAGUGGGGGUGGAUAAAAACAGAGAAAAACUCGAGCAAUGGUUAGCAGGUGAUGAUCUGGAAUGCUCUGUGAUAGCUCUGCUCGGAAUGGGAGGUCUUGGUAAAACUGCUUUAGCUGCUAAUGUGUACAAGAAGGUGAGGGAGAAAUUCCAAUGCCACGCCUGGGUUUCUGUCUCUCAAACUUAUUCUAGAGAAGAUGUCUUGAGGAAUAUAAGCAAGGUACUUUUCAAAGAUAAUGUCACUGUUCUAUCUAAAACUACAGCUAUGGACAUCACAUGCCUUGAAGAGAUGGUGAAGAGUUUUCUUGAGCAGCACAAGUAUUUGAUUAUUUUCGAUGAUGUUUGGACUCCGGAAACAUUUGAUGAUUUGUCUGGGACGCUUAUUCAUAAUGAUAAGGGUAGUAGACUGAUAAUCACAACAAGGGAAGGUGAUGUUGCUGCACUUGCCUCUCAAGGACAUAUCUUAAGACUGGAAGCUUUACCAGAAGAGAAGGCAUGGGAUCUUUUUUGUAAGAAAGCCUUUCCAAGGAAUGCAAAUCAUGAAUGUCCUACAAAAUUGAAGCCAUUGUCCGAGGAAAUAACUAGCAAGUGCAAAGGCUUGCCUCUUGCUAUUGUGUCAGUUGGCAGCCUCUUGCGUGCGCGUGAGAAAACUGUGGAAGAAUGCAGAAGAAUAAAUGACCAAUUGAGCUGGGAGACAAUUAAUAAUUUGAGGCUCGAGCACAUAAGGAAUGUUUUGUAUUUGAGCUUCAUAUACCUUCCAACACACUUGAAAAGUUGUUUCUUGUACUGCAGUCUAUUUCCGGAAGACUAUCUUUUACAUAGGAAACAACUUGUGCGGUUAUGGACAGCAGAGGGGUUCAUCGAGGAGAGGGGUGAAAGCACAUUAGAGGAAGUGGCAGAAGGAUAUCUAAAGGAAUUGAUUGACAGAAACAUGCUACAACUUAUUGAAAGGAAUCACUUUGGUAGGAUGAAGAAAUUCAGAAUGCAUGAUCUCUUACGUGAGCUAGCAGUUGAUUUGUGCAAGAAGAAUUGUAUUGGUGUUACUUAUGACGAUGAAUGUGGGGGGUCUCUUGAGAUGAAUGGACGACGACUGGUACUCCACAAACAUCAGCAAAUUUCUGGUCUACACCAACUUCGUACAGUCAUUACACUAUGCAAUCGGAUGCCAUCAACCACUAUACCUUUGCUAUGUAAGGAGUCAAGAUAUUUAACAGUGCUAGAAUUAAGUGGUCUACCCAUCAAGAAGAUUCCAGAUGCAAUUGGAGAUCUUUUUAAUCUCCGCCAUUUGGGUUUGCGUAAUUCAAAAGUGAAGAUGCUCCCAAAGUCUGUUCAGAAGCUUUCAAAUUUGUUGACACUGGACCUUUAUGGAUCUGAUAUAUAUGAGUUGCCUAGUGGGAUUGUGAAGCUGAAGAAGCUCAGGCACUUAUUUGUUGAGAGAGUAAUAGAUCCGACUUGGAGAGAGCUUACAUGUCGCGGUGGUGUAUGUAUCCCCAAUGGUCUUGGAAACCUAACAAAUCUGCAGACAUUGCAAGCAUUGGAAGCACAAGAAGAGUCUCUUAGGCAUUUAGGGGAGCUGAGGCAAAUGAGAAGCUUGAGGUUAUGGAAUGUGAAGGGAAUUUACUGUGGGCUUAUCAGCGAAUCUCUAGUUCAGAUGCAGUAUUUGUCCUACCUAAGUGUGAAUGCAAGUGACGAGAAUGAGGUUCUAUUGUUGAAUGUCUGUCUGCCAAGCCUGCAAAAGCUAGUUUUGAGAGGACGACUAGCGGAAGGGGCCUUGGAUGAGUCUCCUCUCUUCCAAGCUGUUGGGGGGCAGAACUUGUAUUCAUUGUCUCUAUACUGGUCACAGCUGAGAGAAGACCCCCUUCCAUCCCUUUCUCAGUUGUCAAAUUUGACGCGUCUAUGUUUCACCAGAGCAUACAACGGGGAGCAGCUGACAUUUCUCACGGGGUGGUUCCCGAAGCUAAAGGUUCUCUGGCUAAGAGACCUGCCUAAUCUGAAUCGGCUAAAGAUACAAGAAGGUUCCAUGACGAGCCUCGAAAGAUUAUUCUUAGGCAACCUCAGCAGCAUGAGGGAGGUCCCAGCUGGCAUUGAGUUCCUCAUGCCCCUCAAGUUCCACCUUCAUUCGCCCACGCAGUUCUUCACUUCAGUUGCCACUGCCUGCAUGUGUUGGCCACUUCCGCUAAUAUUUGCGUGCUUUUGCUUGUAA